CUGGCUCAGGAUUAACGCUGGCGGCGUGCCUAAUACAUGCAAGUCGAACGAGGGACUUUGUAGCAAUACGAGGGUUCCUAGUGGCGAAUGGGUGAGUAACGCGUUGGUGACCUGCCCCGAAGUGAGGGAUAACAGUUCGAAAGGACUGCUAAUACCACAUGUGGUCAGUGGGUUUAGAAGCUGCUGACUAAAGGAGCAAUUCGCUUCGGGAGGGACCUGCGUCCCAUCAGCUAGUUGGUAGGGUAACGGCCUACCAAGGCUACGACGGGUAGGGGGCCUGAGAGGGUGGCCCCCCACAUUGGCACUGACACACGGGCCAAACACCUACGGGUGGCAGCAGUAGGGAAUAUUGCACAAUGGGCGAAAGCCUGAUGCAGCAACGCCGCGUGCGCGAUGAAGGCCUUCGGGUCGUAAAGCGCUUUUUGGGGAGAUGAGCAAGGACAGUAUCCCCAGAAUAAGGAUCGGCUAACUACGUGCCAGCCGCGGC
RNAcentral lists this ribosomal RNA (487 nucleotides) under uncultured bacterium. RNAcentral's name for it is "bacterial SSU rRNA". It matches the Rfam family "Bacterial small subunit ribosomal RNA", at positions 19 to 518 of the family's 1533-position model. The record is from RNAcentral.